RNAcentral lists this ribosomal RNA (305 nucleotides) under uncultured bacterium. Its description in RNAcentral is "bacterial SSU rRNA". It matches the Rfam family "Bacterial small subunit ribosomal RNA", at positions 337 to 656 of the family's 1533-position model. The record is from RNAcentral.
GCCUACGGGGGGCAGCAGUGGGGAAUAUUGGGCAAUGGAGGCAACUCUUACCCAGCAAUGCCGCAUGAAUGAAGAAGGUCUUCGGAUUGUAAAGUUCUUUAAUUGGGGACGAAAAAAAUGACGGUACCCAAGGAAUAAGCCCCGGCUAACUACGUGCCAGCAGCCGCGGUAAUACGUAGGGGGCAAGCGUUAUCCGGAUUUACUGGGUGUAAAGGGAGCGUAGGCGGCGAUGCAAGUCAGAAGUGAAAGCCCGGGGCUCAACUCCGGGACUGCUUUUGAAACUGUGUUGCUAGAUUGCAGGAGAG